Molecule: ribosomal RNA, 247 nt
Filed under: uncultured bacterium
Lineage: Bacteria
Description: partial 16S ribosomal RNA
Rfam family: Bacterial small subunit ribosomal RNA
Source: RNAcentral
AUACGGAGGGUGCAAGCGUUAAUCGGAAUCACUGGGCGUAAAGCGCUCGUAGGCGGUUUGGUCAGUCAGAUGUGAAAGCCCUCGGCUUAACCGGGGAACUGCAUUUGAUACUGCCAGACUUGAGUGUCGGAGAGGGUGGCGGAAUUCCGGGUGUAGGAGUGAAAUCCGUAGAUAUCCGGAGGAACACCAGUGGCGAAGGCGGCCACCUGGACGACAACUGACGCUGAGGAGCGAAAGCGUGGGGAGC